This 491-nucleotide ribosomal RNA is filed under the name uncultured bacterium. Its description in RNAcentral is "partial 16S ribosomal RNA". It matches the Rfam family "Bacterial small subunit ribosomal RNA", at positions 29 to 506 of the family's 1533-position model. The record is from RNAcentral.
AGUGAACGCUGGCGGUAGGCCUAACACAUGCAAGUCGAACGGCAGCACAGUAAGAGCUUGCUCUUACGGGUGGCGAGUGGCGGACGGGUGAGGAAUACAUCGGAAUCUACUUUUUCGUGGGGGAUAACGUAGGGAAACUUACGCUAAUACCGCAUACGACCUACGGGUGAAAGCAGGGGAUCUUCGGACCUUGCGCGAUUGAAUGAGCCGAUGUCGGAUUAGCUAGUUGGCGGGGUAAAGGCCCACCAAGGCGACGAUCCGUAGCUGGUCUGAGAGGAUGAUGAGCCACUGUGGAACUGAGACACGGUCCAGACUCCGACGGGAGGCAGCAGUGGGGAAUAUUGGACAAUGGGCGCAAGCCUGAUCCAGCCAUACCGCGUGGGUGAAGAAGGCCUUCGGGUUGUAAAGCCCUUUUGUUGGGAAAGAAAAGCAGCAGGUUAAUACCCCGCUGUUCGGACGGGACCCAAAGAAUAAGCACCGGCUAACUUCGU